UGAGGUGUUCUCCAGCGGCAACGAGAGCAGACUGUAAAUCUGCCGCCAUUCGGCUUCGUGGGUUCGAGUCCCGCCACCUCAACGA
RNAcentral lists this transfer RNA (85 nucleotides) under Prevotella sp. Its description in RNAcentral is "tRNA-Tyr". It matches the Rfam family "tRNA". From Rfam's summary of the family: Transfer RNA (tRNA) molecules are approximately 80 nucleotides in length. Their secondary structure includes four short double-helical elements and three loops (D, anti-codon, and T loops). Lineage: Bacteria; Pseudomonadati; Bacteroidota; Bacteroidia; Bacteroidales; Prevotellaceae. The record is from RNAcentral.